GGGAAGGGGGGACAGACAAAGGAGGUGAUGAAGAUGAGAAACAUGUCUCAAAAGGCCUCAGGGUGCUGGCAAAGGAAGACCCAAGCCACCCCUCCCCAGGGCAGCAGCUGGGCCAGCUGGCAGCACUACUCAGGCCCUGACCCUGCCACCUGUGGCCAGUGCAUGACUUUUCCCACAGGUGCUGCCCUUCGCUUCCUUCCCAGGGCAGAUAGCUGGCGGGACUUCAGAACCUCGGGCAUGCCCGCCAAGAGGAAGGAGGAGCUGAGCUGGCCCUGCCGUGGUCAGCAAACUGAGACCUACAGAAGGAGAGAGCCCCAGCAGCAGCACCGUAGGAGGUGGCGCCUGAGAUCAAGGCCUCCUCAGGCUUCCCUGGUGACUCAGUGGUAAAGAAUCCACCUGCCAAUGCAGGAGACAUGGAUUCGAUCCCUGGUCCAGGAAGAUCCCACAUGCUGUGGAGCAACUAAGCCCAAGCGCCCCAACUUUAGAGACCUGUGCUGUAGAGCUGGGGAGCCACGACUACGGAGGCUGCACACCCGCGCUAGAGCCCAUGCUCCGCAACAAGAGAAGCCGCUGCAAUGAGAAGGCUGUGCGCCGCAGCAGAGAGCAGACCCGCUUGCUGCAACGAGGGAAAAGCCUAUGCAGUAGUGAAAGCCCAGCGCGGUCAAAACCACAUAAACAAAAUCAUAUAAUCUAUAUAAAUUAUAUAUAUAUAAAAGAUCAA
This is a long non-coding RNA of Bubalus bubalis (water buffalo), 721 nucleotides long. RefSeq lists it as uncharacterized. The transcript is spliced from 2 exons. Lineage: Eukaryota; Metazoa; Chordata; Mammalia; Artiodactyla; Bovidae. The record is from RefSeq and is a predicted model, not a curated record.